GGGGAAUAUUGCACAAUGGGGGAAACCCUGAUGCAGCCAUGCCGCGUGAAUGAAGAAGGCCUUCGGGUUGUAAAGUUCUUUCGGUGACGAGGAAGGUUGGUAGGUUAAUAGCCUAUCAAAUUGACGUUAAUCACAGAAGAAGCACCGGCUAACUCCGUGCCAGCAGCCGCGGUAAUACGGGGGGUGCGAGCGUUAAUCGGAAUAACUGGGCGUAAAGGGCACGCAGGCGGUGACUUAAGUGAGAUGUGAAAGCCCCGGGCUUAACCUGGGAAUUGCAUUUCAUACUGGGUCGCUAGAGUACUUUAGGGAGGGGUAGAAUUCCACGUGUAGCGGUGAAAUGCGUAGAGAUGUGGAGGAAUACCGAAGGCGAAGGCAGCCCCUUGGGAAUGUACUGACGCUCAUGUGCGAAAGCGUGGGGAGCAAACAGGAUUAGAUACCCUGGUAGUCCACGCUGUAAACGAUGUCGAUUUGGGGAUUGGGCUUUGAGCUUGGUGCCCGUAGCUAACGUGAUAAAUCGACCGCCUGGGGAGUACGGCCGCAAGGUUA
Molecule: ribosomal RNA, 546 nt
Filed under: uncultured bacterium
Lineage: Bacteria
Description: bacterial SSU rRNA
Rfam family: Bacterial small subunit ribosomal RNA
Source: RNAcentral